This 790-nucleotide ribosomal RNA is filed under the name uncultured archaeon. RNAcentral describes it as "bacterial SSU rRNA". It matches the Rfam family "Archaeal small subunit ribosomal RNA", at positions 85 to 878 of the family's 1478-position model. The record is from RNAcentral.
ACUGCUCAGUAACACGUAGUCAACAUAACCAGAGGACGUGGAUAAACUCGGGAAACUGAGGCUAAACCGCGAUAGACCAAGAUACCUGGAAUGGUUUUUGAUCAAAAUCUAUAUGGCCUUUGGAUUGGACUGCGACCGAUCAGGCUGUUGGUGAGGUAAUGGCCCACCAAACCAGUAACCGGUACGGGCUCUGAGAGGAGGAGCCCGGAGAUGGGUACUGAGACAAGGACCCAGGCCCUAUGGGGCGCAGCAGGCGCGAAACCUCUGCAAUAGGCGAAAGCCUGACAGGGUUAUUCUGAGUGACUUUCGCUAAGAAAGUCUUUUGACAUCUCUAAAAAUGGUGUAGAAUAAGGGGUGGGCAAGUCUGGUGUCAGCCGCCGCGGUAAUACCAGCACCCCGAGUGGUCGGGACGAUUAUUGGGCCUAAAGCAUCCGUAGCCGGUUUUACAAGUCCUCCGUUAAAUCCAACUGCUUAACAGAUGGGCCGCGGAGGAUACUAUAAGACUAGGAGGCAGGAGAGGCAAGCGGUACUCAGUGGGUAGGGGUAAAAUCCGUUGAUCCAUUGAAGACCACCAGUGGCGAAGGCGGCUUGCCAGAAUGCGCUCGACGGUGAGGGAUGAAAGCUGGGGGAGCAAACCGGAUUAGAUACCCGGGUAGUCCCAGCUGUAAACGAUGCAGACUCGGUGAUGGACUAGCUUAAUGCUAGUCCAGUGCCGCAGGGAAGCCGUUAAGUCUGCCGCCUGGGUAGUACGGUCGCAAGACUGAAACUUAAAGGAAUUGGCGGGGGAGCA